UGGGGAAUAUUGCACAAUGGGCGCAAGCCUGAUGCAGCCAUGCCGCGUGUAUGAAGAAGGCCUUCGGGUUGUAAAGUACUUUCAGCGGGGAGGAAGGGAGUAAAGUUAAUACCUUUGCUCAUUGACGUUACCCGCAGAAGAAGCACCGGCUAACUCCGUGCCAGCAGCCGCGGUAAUACGGAGGGUGCAAGCGUUAAUCGGAAUUACUGGGCGUAAAGCGCACGCAGGCGGUUGGUUGAGUCAGAUGUGAAAUCCCCGGGCUUAACCCGGGAAUUGCAUCUGAUACUGGUCAGCUAGAGUCUUGUAGAGGGGGGUAGAAUUCCAUGUGUAGCGGUGAAAUGCGUAGAGAUGUGGAGGAAUACCGGUGGCGAAGGCGGCCCCCUGGACAAAGACUGACGCUCAGGUGCGAAAGCGUGGGGAGCAAACAGG
Molecule: ribosomal RNA, 429 nt
Filed under: Chloroflexota bacterium
Lineage: Bacteria; Bacillati; Chloroflexota
Description: Chloroflexi bacterium partial 16S ribosomal RNA
Rfam family: Bacterial small subunit ribosomal RNA
Source: RNAcentral